Long non-coding RNA from Neltuma alba, 617 nucleotides. RefSeq lists it as uncharacterized. NCBI's taxonomy places the organism in Eukaryota, Viridiplantae, Streptophyta, Magnoliopsida, Fabales, Fabaceae. The record is from RefSeq and is a predicted model, not a curated record. The transcript is spliced from 2 exons.
CACACACACAUACUCAUUCUCUGCGCAUGACUUUCACUUUGCUGGAAUAAAAGCCGAAACGCGUAACUUUCUUCAUCUCACUCCCAUCAUAAAAUAAUACCCAGGUCCUCAAUUUCAGAUGCCUAUGGCUAGCCACCCUUGUUCUGAACAACCUAUAUAUCGGAAGCUUUCAUCUUGUGUGGGGAUUGCUGUCUGGUCCAAAGAAAUAUGACACUCACAAACAUGCGCUUCAGAUACAAUCCUGAUUUAUAGAUCCUGAUCUCGUAAUUACGGAUUUGUGUGUUUUUGUUUAGAGUGUCUCUUCGGACCAGGCUUCAUUCCCCUCAACUACUGCUUCCAUAUUUACACAGUGAUGAUGAACAAACUCAUGAUGAUCGAUCUCCUGAUCAAUGGAAGGCAUGUGGAUGGAGAAGGAAGUGAACUUGAAGCAAUAUUGUGGCUUUUACACAUUAUUCUGUCGAAUAGAUUCUAUUUUAUUGCCCUCUUUUUCUCUUUUUAUAAAGGAGGCAUCUUUCUGCUGUCUUUUGAAAAAUCGUUCUUUUCCUUUUCUUUUUAAAUAUAUACACAUUUUAUCUUUCACAAAAUACAAAUAUAUAUGAAGUCUCUGUCAUGUCUUA